UACGUAAGAGGCAAGCGUUGUCCGGAAUCACUGGGCGUAAAGCGCACGUAGGCGGCUUGGCAAGUCAGGGGUGCAAGCUCCAGGCUUAACCUGGAAAUUGCCCUUGAAACUACCUCGCUUGAGUGUCAGAGGGGAGACUGGAAUUCACGGUGUAGCGGUGAAAUGCGUAGAUAUCGUGGAGAACACCCGUGGCGAAGGCGGGUCUCUGGCUGACUACUGACGCUGAGGUGCGAAAGCUAGGGGAGCAAACGGG
RNAcentral lists this ribosomal RNA (253 nucleotides) under uncultured bacterium. Its description in RNAcentral is "partial 16S ribosomal RNA". It matches the Rfam family "Bacterial small subunit ribosomal RNA", at positions 524 to 776 of the family's 1533-position model. The record is from RNAcentral.